GUGCUCACUUAGCAGCACAGAUACUAAAAUUGGAACUGUAAAGAAGAUUAGCAUGGUCCUGCAUGAGGAUAACCUAGAAAUUUGUGAAGCAUUCCAUCAAGAA
Small nuclear RNA from Leopardus geoffroyi (Geoffroy's cat), 103 nucleotides. The record is from RefSeq and is a predicted model, not a curated record. Lineage: Eukaryota; Metazoa; Chordata; Mammalia; Carnivora; Felidae.